AUUGAACGCUGGCGGCAUGCCUAACACAUGCAAGUCGAGCGGAUGAAGGGAGCUUGCUCCUGGAUUCAGCGUCGGACGGGUGAGGAAUGCCUAGGAAUCGGCCUCGUAGUGGGGGAUAACGUCCGGCAACGGGCACUAAUACCGCAUACGUCCUGAGGGUUAGAUUGGGGGAUCUUCGUACCUCACGCCAUUAGUUCAGCCUAUGGCGGAUUAGCUAGUUGGUGGGGUAAAGGCUUACCAAGGCGACGAUCCGUAACUGGUCUGAGAGGAUGAUCAGUCACACUGGGACUGAGACACGGUCCAGACUCCUACGGGAGGCAGCAGUGGGGAAUAUUGGGCAAUGGGCGAAAGCCUGACGCAGCAAUGCCGCGUGUGUGAAGAAGGUCUUCGGAUUGUAAAGCACUUUAAGUUGGGAGGAAGGGCAGUAAGUUAAUACCUUGCUGUUUUGACGUUACCAAAAGAAUAAGCACCGGCUAACUUCGUG
This 484-nucleotide ribosomal RNA is filed under the name uncultured bacterium. RNAcentral's name for it is "partial 16S ribosomal RNA". It matches the Rfam family "Bacterial small subunit ribosomal RNA", at positions 30 to 507 of the family's 1533-position model. The record is from RNAcentral.